Molecule: ribosomal RNA, 873 nt
Filed under: uncultured archaeon
Lineage: Archaea
Description: bacterial SSU rRNA
Rfam family: Archaeal small subunit ribosomal RNA
Source: RNAcentral
AGCUACUGCUAUCGGAAUUCGAUUAAGCCAUGCGAGUCGAGAGGGUUCGGCCCUCGGCUGACGGCUCAGUAACACGUGGAUAACCUGCCCUCAGGUAGGGGAUAAUCUCGGGAAACUGAGGAUAAUACCCUAUAAGCAUCCUCUGCUGGAAUGCUUGGAUGUUCAAAGGCAACGCCUGAGGAUGGGUCUGCGGCCUAUCAGGUUGUAGUGGGUGUAACGGACCCACUAGCCCGCGACGGGUACGGGCCUUGAAAGAGGUAGCCCGGAGAUGGACUCUGAGACACGAGUCCAGGCCCUACGGGGCGCAGCAGGCGCGAAAACUUCGCAAUGCGGGAAACCGUGACGAGGGAAUUCCGAGUGCUCAUACAAUGUAUGGGCUUUUCUUAUGUGUAAAAAGCAUGAGGAAUAAGGGCUGGGUAAGACCGGUGCCAGCCGCCGCGGUAAUACCGGCAGCUCUAGUGGUAGCCACUUUUAUUGGGCCUAAAGCGUCCGUAGCCGGUCAGGUAAAUCCUUGGGUAAAUCGUACAGCUUAACUGUGCGGCUUCCGGGGAGACUGCUUGACUUGGGACCGGGAGAGGUUGGAGGUACUCCUGGGGUAGGGGUGAAAUCCUGUAAUCCUAGGUGGACCACCGGUGGCGAAGGCGUCCAACCAGAACGGCUCCGACGGUGAGGGACGAAGGCUAGGGGCGCAAACCGGAUUAGAUACCCGGGUAGUCCUAGCUGUAAACGCUGCAGACUUGGUGUUGGAGAUCCCACGAGGGUGUCCAGUGCCGGAGAGAAGUUGUUAAGUUUGCCGCCUGGGAAGUAUGGCCGCAAGGCUGAAACUUAAAGGAAUUGGCGGGGGAGCACCGCAACGGGAGGAGCGUGCGGUUU